CCCGGGACGCGGCGGACGGCUCAGGACAACGGUUGCACCCCCCGCGGCGGUCCCUGCUAGCCGGACACCGCUGGCAACCCGGCGCCAAGACGUGCGCGCAAGGGCGGGCGCCCGCGGGCGAGCAGCGUGACGCAGA
This 136-nucleotide ribosomal RNA is filed under the name Giardia duodenalis. RNAcentral describes it as "Giardia intestinalis partial small subunit ribosomal RNA". RNAcentral also lists the same sequence under 1 other name. The record is from RNAcentral. Lineage: Eukaryota; Fornicata; Diplomonadida; Hexamitidae.